Molecule: ribosomal RNA, 504 nt
Filed under: uncultured bacterium
Lineage: Bacteria
Description: partial 16S ribosomal RNA
Rfam family: Bacterial small subunit ribosomal RNA
Source: RNAcentral
GACGAACGCUAGCUACAGGCUUAACACAUGCAAGUCGAGGGGCAGCAUAAAUCUAGCAAUAGAUUUGAUGGCGACCGGCGCACGGGUGAGUAACACGUAUCCAACCUACCUAUUACUCGGGUAUAGCCUUUCGAAAGAAUGAUUAAUCCCCGAUACGAUAUAAAAGCUGCAAGGUUUUUAUAUGAAAGACUUAUUGGUAUUAGAUGGGGAUGCGUUCCAUUAGAUAAUUGGUGAGGUAACGGCUCACCAAGUCUUCGAUGGAUAGGGGUUCUGGAAGGAAGGUCCCCCACACUGGAACUGAGACACGGUCCGCACUCCUACGGGAGGCAGCAGUGAGGAAUAUUGGUCAAUGGGCGAGAGCCUGAACCAGCCAAGUAGCGUGAGGGAUGACUGCCCUAUGGGUUGUAAACCUCUUUUAUAAGGGAAUAAAACGCUCCACGUGUGGAGCUUUGCAUGUACCUUUUGAAUAAGGAUCGGCUAACUCCGUGCCAGCAGCCGCGGUAA